ACACGCUUCCCCACUGAGGGAAGACCAUGUGACUAUACAACAGGAAGGUAGUUGUUUACAAGCCAGGAAGAGAGCCCUCACCAGAAACCAAAUUGGCUGGCACCUUGAUCAUGGACUCCUGGGCUCCAGAACUGUAAGAAAAUACAUUUGUGUUGUGGAAGCCACCCAGCCCAUGGUAUUUCGUUAUGGCAGCCUGAGCAGAGGUGGUAGCUAUGUGGACAGUUUUUGGACUUCUCUAUUGUUGCCCUUCAUCACUCAGCAGUGAAGAAUGAAAAUCAACAGAGCUUUCCCCAGCCUGCUGCUUAAGCAGCUGCUAGCAGGCUGAGGCUGCCCAGCCUCAUUAACCCAUUAGAUGCUGCGUUCGCCCGGGAGUCAUUCUUAAUAAGGCUGCUGCAGAGACGGCGUUUCACCAUGUUGCCCAGACUGGUCUUGAACUCCUGGCUUCAAGUGAUCCUCCUGCCUCAGCCUCCCAAAGUGCUGGUAUUACAGAUGAGAAAACAGAAGCAAAGGCAGAAAGAUGCUACAUUGCCAGCUUUGAAGAUGGAGGGAAGAGGUCACAAACCAAGGAA
RNAcentral lists this long non-coding RNA (569 nucleotides) under Pan troglodytes (chimpanzee). RNAcentral describes it as "lincRNA". The record is from RNAcentral. Lineage: Eukaryota; Metazoa; Chordata; Mammalia; Primates; Hominidae.